AUUACAAGGAAGAAAUUAUGGGACCUACAUAAUAUUUUGGGGAUGAAGAUGUGUCAAUUAGGCAACAACUUGAAUCACCUCAUUCUGUUGAGUUUGCACUUGCUAUAGUUUAUAAACCAAGACACAACAAUAUGCAUCUCAUAAGGGAAGCAAUAUAGCACCAAAGCAUGUGAGAUCUCCCCUGCUAAUAAUCUCCCUCUACACUAUGAUGAUAGGACAACUUUGAAGUGUGAUGAACCUUUCCUUAAAG
RNAcentral lists this unclassified non-coding RNA (250 nucleotides) under Hevea brasiliensis (rubber tree). The record is from RNAcentral. Lineage: Eukaryota; Viridiplantae; Streptophyta; Magnoliopsida; Malpighiales; Euphorbiaceae.